Molecule: long non-coding RNA, 2823 nt
Organism: Anguilla rostrata (American eel)
Lineage: Eukaryota; Metazoa; Chordata; Actinopteri; Anguilliformes; Anguillidae
Exons: 2
Source: RefSeq, a predicted model, not a curated record
AACUUAGGACACACACCAUGGGCUCAUUCAAAUGGCUUUUUUUUAUGUCUUCUCAAUCCUCACCUGACCUUGAAACCGAUAAAAGUCCACCAUUUCAAAGGACAUUCCAACUUGUUAAAUGCUCCUUGAAGGAGCUAGGAGCAAGUAGGCUCCUCCUGAAGGAUGCUUGAGUAAGGAAACUGAAGUGCAUUCAUUCUUUAAAGUGGUCAUAGGCAUUUCCAAAAUAUGUGUUCUGAGUCUCAAAUGCAUUAUGAUUGGUCAGUGGAUCAAUGAUGUCACAUUCCAAAAAUAUGUUAGAGCUUUCAAUAUGUGAUAUUAUCAAAAAUGCUUAGAAUAACACCAUAUAUGGUUGCACUGUUCUUCCAAGAAUGCAAUCUGGGAUUUAAUUCUGGGAUACUUCCAAGAUCCGUUGCCAUGUAUUUUGCUUGGAAGGAUGAAACAUCUUUAGAAUACUUCCAAGCUUGCAUAUCCAAUCAAAAAAUUACAUUGCUAUCCCUAACCAUAAUUCUAAUUCUAACCGUAAAUCCUAUUUUUACCCCUCAUCUUAAAUAUUAGAUUUUUCUAUUAAUAUGAAUCACAAACAAAAUAAAAUCAGUUCAAUGAAAUUCAUACAAGGCAAUGUGUUUGAAGGAAUUCAUGACAAUUGUACUUCCCUGAAAAAAAUGUCAAAAUAGAUAAGGAUAUUGUUCUAUGUCUCAAAAGUGAAAUUAUGUGACUCAUUCAAAAUCAUAGAAUAACCCUAGCACUAACUCUGACCGUACCACGUAAGUAUAGGCUUUAUUUAGCCUCAACCAACGGUUGUGAUAGAAUUACACAAAAACACACAUUCUUCAUAAUGUUAACUCUUCCUACAAAAGUUUAAGCCAGUCAGGGAAGGAUUACAUUAUAGCAAUGCAAGCACCCAUCAAAGAAACAAAGGAACACUAAUUACCUUGGAUGACCACUACAACAGGUUGAGAUCAAGGAACAUUGGCAUUUGCCCUACCAUGUAACAUUCGGAAUGCUUGUUUUAGGUGAUGUGCAAAAUUCUAGGUAAGGAUGUUUGUAUGUUUGGCUGUCCAUUCUGUCAUGUGCUUGUACUGAUGCGGAUGUAGUUGGGUGCAUUCAUUUUUCUUUAACAUGAAUAGCCAUUAGUGCGGUGAUUGUUUAUGAAGAUGUUGAGAAGGCGACGUGGACCAUGUUAGGUAAGUGUCGCAUGGACUGGGAAAGAUAUAUUUCUCCCUAUAACUGUCGAUGGUACCACAAUGACUGCCUCUCAAUCUGCAAAGAGCCUGGGGGUGGUCCUAGGAGACCAGCUGGACGUCCAGGAGCACAUCACGGUCCUGCAGAUUCCUCCGGUACAUCAGGAGGAUUUGACAAUGCCUGACCACGUACUCCACCCAGCUACUCGUCCAGGUCCAGGCCAUGUUGGAAACACAAUGGAUCCCCCUGCCUGGACCUCAUAUGGGUCACUCAAUGUUUCUGGUGGUUUGAGUAAGUAAAACAUCCAUGGGGGGGUCUCUCCCAUGAUGAAAAAACCUUUCUUGGUUUCUCUUGUAGUUUCCUGUAGUGUUUGAUGCCCUGAAGUUCCUGGGCUGCUACUGUGCAUUUUCUGUAGUGUUCUUGAUCGAUUAGUUAUCCCUUUGCCUCCUCUAUGUACUGUGAUCUUCCCGCAACACAACACUCCCAUUGUCUGUUGGUUUUGUUUGUUGUUUGGCAGUUGCUAUAGUGCUUGCUUGUCAUCUACUGUUUGUGUGUUUUUAACCUUUAAGUUUGAGGAUUUAAUGUUUUCUUGUUCUUCUGUGCUGUCGGAUGAUGUCCACCAAUUCCCUGGGUAUCUUGUUUGGGUUCCCAGUUGGAUCUAGGUGUGAAUGGUGUGUGUAGUUUUGCUUCUGUUCUUUUGAAGAAUACUGAAAAUUUUACUAUCAGGCAAACAAUGUAAUAUCAGGCCAUAAGGGCUUUAUAAAUUUGGCAUUGCCAAAUAUGUGUGCUCAUAUAUGCCCCAUGCUGUUGAUUCGGGGAGUGUAGACAAUUUGUGGUUCUCCUCUGAAACAUGCAGCGUCACCCAGCUGGUUUUAUUCACACCACAGCCACAAGCUGCACACACAGAGCAGAGGUGGAGGAGACCCAAUCAUAUGCCUGUGCAGAGAGCAAGUCACAGUCACCAGGACAGCCAACAAGGUUGCUUUGAGCAAUGAACAGCACUGUCCAUGGUGACUGAAUCCCUUCCAUAUAUCCCUCGGGUGGUGCGAAGCGGAUUCCAAAGGUCCUGUGGAGCUGGCAGCCCCAGUCAUCACUGACAUGGGUCAGAUUCUAUCUGAGAUUGUGUACCAUGGACAUUUUGUGUCCAAUAAGGCCACCAUACUCUGCUAGACCUCUCUUCAGGUGGGUUACCGUUGCUUCUAGUGAGGUCAGAGCAGAACUUUCCGUUACCAUUUACAGCCACAUGACACAUCAAGUGUUAAAGCAGUAUUAUGACAGUUGACGGUUCAAUCUAGGUUAUUUUUCGCAUUUGCACAUUGCAUUUGUUAACCAAAGGAGGUGUUUGUGCCACUUUGAGAUAUCUGAGAAUGACACUUUGAAAAGAGAUGCUAUGAAUAUAAAAGACCAGAUAAAGUUGACACCUCUGUAGCUAAUUUAUAAUUUCCAGCUUUCUCGAUGGAAGACUGAAGAUGUACCACUUUAUUUUAUUAAAUAAGACAACACAGCUAUAGGGAAAGGAGAUUGGCAGAUUUUGUUUUCUGUAUUGGUGGAAUUCAGUUGUUUUUGGCUCUGCUUGCCAACAUUUGGGAUGUACAGAAUUAAUUAUGUUGAUUAGUGUGACAGGAAAGUUCCCUGGAAAAA